Molecule: ribosomal RNA, 440 nt
Filed under: uncultured bacterium
Lineage: Bacteria
Description: partial 16S ribosomal RNA
Rfam family: Bacterial small subunit ribosomal RNA
Source: RNAcentral
CCUACGGGCGGCAGCAGUGGGGAAUAGUGCACAAUGGGGGAAACCCUGAUGCAGCGACGCCGCGUGAGCGAUGAAGUAUUUCGGUAUGUAAAGCUCUAUCAGCAGGGAAGAAAAGGACGGGACCUGCAGAGGAAGCCACGGCUAACUACGUGCCAGCAGCCGCGGUAAUACGUAGGUGGCAAGCGGUGUUCGGAAUAACUGGGCGUAAAGGAUGCGUAGGCGGUUAAACAAGUUAUAUGUUAAAUAUAUAGGCUUAACCUGUAGAAAGCAUAUAAAACUGUUUAACUAGAGUGCAGGAGAGGUAAGUGGAAUUCCUAGUGUAGCGGUGAAAUGCGUAGAGAUUAGGAAGAACACCAGUGGCGAAGGCGACUUACUGGACUGUAACUGACGCUGAGGCAUGAGAGCAUGGGGAGCAAACAGGAUUAGAUACCCGUGUAGUC